This 358-nucleotide ribosomal RNA is filed under the name Escherichia coli. RNAcentral's name for it is "partial 23S ribosomal RNA". It matches the Rfam family "Bacterial large subunit ribosomal RNA", at positions 717 to 1072 of the family's 2925-position model. Lineage: Bacteria; Pseudomonadati; Pseudomonadota; Gammaproteobacteria; Enterobacterales; Enterobacteriaceae. The record is from RNAcentral.
GAAACCCGGUGAUCUAGCCAUGGGCAGGUUGAAGGUUGGGUAACACUAACUGGAGGACCGAACCGACUAAUGUUGAAAAAUUAGCGGAUGACUUGUGGCUGGGGGUGAAAGGCCAAUCAAACCGGGAGAUAGCUGGUUCUCCCCGAAAGCUAUUUAGGUAGCGCCUCGUGAAUUCAUCUCCGGGGGUAGAGCACUGUUUCGGCAAGGGGGUCAUCCCGACUUACCAACCCGAUGCAAACUGCGAAUACCGGAGAAUGUUAUCACGGGAGACACACGGCGGGUGCUAACGUCCGUCGUGAAGAGGGAAACAACCCAGACCGCCAGCUAAGGUCCCAAAGUCAUGGUUAAGUGGGAAACG